AAAAAUAGGAAAAGGCAGGCCGGGAGAGCAGGCGGAUCAUCCAGCGAGUAGGCAGCCGAGCCCUAAAGAGCGAACCUCGCCAUCUACCAAUUACGCAUCAAACUAACAGCCCACCUAGUCAGCCCGAGCCCCUCCAUCGUCCACUUGGGUUCGGCCGGUCCCCGGCCCGCCUGCCGCAGCCAUGGUGGCAGCCCCGGGAGGAGCACUAGCAUCCGUUUCCUUCGAUCCUCGGGAUUUGCAGAUGGCUGCCCAGUCAGCGCCCAAAGUUGUGCUAAAAAGCACCACCAAGAUGUCUCUAAAUGAGCGCUUUACUAAUAUGCUGAAGAACAAACAGCCGAUGCCAGUGAAUAUUCGGGCUUCGAUGCAGCAACAACAGCAGCUAGCCAGUGCCAGGAACAGAAGACUGGCCCAGCAGAUGGAGAAUAGACCCUCUGUCCCGGCAGCAUUAAAACUUAAGCAGAGCUUAAAGCAGCGCCUGGGUAAGAGUAACAUCCAGGCACGGUUAGGCCGACCCACAGGGGCUCUGGCCAGAGGAGCCAUUGGAGGAUGAGGCCUUCCCAUAGUCCGGAGAGACUUGCCCAGAGGAGGACUGUGUGGGGGACGUGCCACCAGGACCCUGCUUAGGGGCGGGAUAUCGUUCCGAGGUCAAAACCUGCUUCGAGGUGGACGAGCUGUAGCUCCCCAAAUGGGCUUAAGAAGAGGUGGUGUUCGAGGUCACGGAGGUCCUGGGAGAGGGGUCCUAGGGCGUGGAGCUAUGGGUCGUGGCGGAAUCGGUGGCAGAGUUCAGGGUAUGAUAGGUCGGGGAAGAGGGGGCUUUGGAGGACGUGGAUGAGGACGUGGAUGGGGGAGAGGUGCCCUUACUCGCCCUGUGUUGACCAAGGAGCAGCUGGACAACCAGUUGGAUGCCUACAUGUCAAAAGCUAAAGGACAUCCGGAUGCUGAGUUGAAUGCCGACCUGGCACAGACAGAUCCUGAACCAAUGAAUUAA
RNA transcript from Octodon degus (degu), 988 nucleotides. It is a transcript of the gene named chromatin target of PRMT1 protein pseudogene, with no coding region annotated. The transcript has a single exon. The record is from RefSeq and is a predicted model, not a curated record. NCBI's taxonomy places the organism in Eukaryota, Metazoa, Chordata, Mammalia, Rodentia, Octodontidae.